UCAUCCGGGCAGACGCCAAACACUGGAGAAGGUAUUGGCAUCCUACCACUGGUCAAACUUGUGGGAGGAUGUCAACAAAUGGGUUGAUGAGUGUCCCCUGCUGUCAGUGGCAUGAAACAGUCAAGACAGUUGCACUUGUCCUUCAUCCCAUCCAUGUCAGAGAAGCAUGGAGUGUCCUUGGGGCGAUCUAAUUGGUCCACUUCUCACCACUGCAAAGGGCAAAAGGUAAUUUGCAUAAACCAGUACAUCUGCAAGUCAACUGUGGUGUCUUUGAGUCUCUGGGUAUCAAACUGUGCACUGUUACAUCAGCCUACCAGCCCCAGGCCAAUGGACAGGAUGAGCCGCCUACAGAAAAAGCCAAGAACUGUGGUGAACAACAAAAUGAUUGGGAUGAUGAUUUAAGGGGUAUUGUGUCUAGCAUCAAUACCUCUAAACAGGUAAUAUUGUGGAAACAAUAUUCAACUGGGUAGAAAAACUGUAAAAUACGAUUAAUUGUACUUUUUUUUUUUUUUACAGUGGUCAACCAAGUACACACCAUACUGUCCACUAUUAGGAAAGCGCCGUUGCACCCCAGGUGUAAUCAACAUUACGAAGAAUGAGGGGGGUGACAACUCUGUUAUUGUGACUACUGUUAAGCACAUGGAGAAGAGAACAAGGACAAACAGGCCGACCAUCGGGGUCUCAAGCUAGACUGCGAAUCACGGGCACAACCUUUACGCAACCAAAUGUUUUUCUCCCUAUCAUCAGUGCGGUUUGGCACCUGACAAAUUCCUUGAUAUCUCAGGUAGAAUUUAUUAAGUUUUGUCAAAUUCGCUAUCUGACCUGAAGCCAUUCAUAGGAAUGUUGGCUCUGUUCUUGCUUUGUGGCCUGUGAUUGUUUUCAUGCCAGACCAAGCUGAGGUAAGGGUCCUCUCAGCCAGUUUGCGUUCUACUUUAGUUUUAUACUUUUGUUUAGCCCUUAGGAUUUCCACUUUCACCUCGUUUUUGGCUGCAUCUAUUUCAGAAGCCUACAUAUAUACUAUUCUAUUAUGUAUUGUAUGUCAUUUUUGUAUUUUUUCAUGUUGUGUUUGACAUUAAUUUUUUGUUUUGUACUGUUGUUAUAUUGAAGCCUGCACACAUAUUGCAGUGACAUGUUCACCUUUUUUCAUACAUUUCAUUUUUAUGUUUGUGCUUAAUGCUUUAAUGUGUUUUCAUUGUUAUACAUAAUAACCCAUGUGCUAUAUUCUUAUUUAUAUUCUACUCUUCUUUGCUGUAUCCUGCUACGAUUUGCUGCCACAAUAACCCUCCAGUCUAGUCUAGAGUAGUCCAAUCUAAUAUAAACUAGUCAAACCUAAUCUAAUCUAAUCUCACAGUAUCUCUCAAUUCCCUGGUUUUAAGUAUCAUGAGAUUAAGCAGCCACCAGGAGGAGCUGCAGGAGAGAGAGGAGGAGGAGUGGUGUCAGGUUGGUACCUU
Molecule: long non-coding RNA, 1451 nt
Organism: Thunnus maccoyii (southern bluefin tuna)
Lineage: Eukaryota; Metazoa; Chordata; Actinopteri; Scombriformes; Scombridae
Exons: 4
Source: RefSeq, a predicted model, not a curated record